Long non-coding RNA from Mastomys coucha (southern multimammate mouse), 423 nucleotides. RefSeq lists it as uncharacterized. The transcript has 3 exons. The record is from RefSeq and is a predicted model, not a curated record. NCBI's taxonomy places the organism in Eukaryota, Metazoa, Chordata, Mammalia, Rodentia, Muridae.
UCUUACCGUUCCAUUCUGUUGGUCCUGUCUGUGGUUCUGUGGCUCCGUUUUCCUUGCUUUGGGGCAUGAUUUCCAAACUGACUUUUUUAAAAUUUGGGUUUGUAUCUCCUGAGGUUGAAGAAGCCUUUCUGAUUAAUGGGCCUAAGUAAUAGAGUAGGAGAAAAUAUUAGCUAACUCAAAGAAAUCAAUAUUAAGAUUACAAAAUUAUUCCAACACUAAUUGAUGUGGUACCGAUGACCAGAGACCGUAUUUCCGAAAGCUUGGCUGCAGGCACAUGAGAGAUGAACACAGUGACGGGUUCACCACAAUAUAUGGCUUCUGGGAAGAGCUACACAAAUAUUUGUUUAACAAAGGAAUACAAACAGAUGGGCCAGAGUUGAACCAGACACUGUGUGUGGAGAGCGGUAGAGCUGGAGAGGCAUU